Zootermopsis nevadensis is the source of this 783-nucleotide long non-coding RNA. RefSeq lists it as uncharacterized. The record is from RefSeq and is a predicted model, not a curated record. NCBI's taxonomy places the organism in Eukaryota, Metazoa, Arthropoda, Insecta, Blattodea, Termopsidae.
AAUGCAUGCAGAACUUGAAUUAUUUCCUACUCAGAAGUAAAACCAUAAGUUUGGUGCGUGCCCGCCCGCCACUGGAGUCCCUGGUGAACGAACAUAAGAGCUCCGCUCUGCGUUGGAUAUGCAGACUGAGCCAAGCCGUGACGUAGAGCAACCAGGUACCGACAACAGCGGAACGAACUGGUGGGUAUUAAACAUCUGUACAGCAUCCUAUUCACAGAACAUCACAGAAUGUCACCUCGGCUCGGAACGUCCUUACGUUUCGAGUGGAGAUGAAGGCUUCCAGAUAUUGAAAGCAGCUACGAAUGAAUUGAAUAAACCGACGUGGACAGCCGAUAGGGGGUUGCCCUCCAGGUUGAAUUUAAACGGGAGAUAACAACUAUAAACAGAAAAUAACCUGUAGCUCAGUAACGUGUCCUGACGGAGUUAGUCAAUGAUUAAAGAGAAGAUCUUUACAAUAUUUUGCUUGUUGUAUCUAAAAAGCUAGUCAGGCUAAUUAAAAUGUAUAAUUGUAUAACCAACAACUUUUAACACUGAACGGUAUUAUACGUAGACCAUACGCGUUUCGGCCCUAAGGGGUCAUCUUCAGUGGCCAGUAAAUAUGUUAUAUUUCAAUAUAAAGCUUCUAAAAAUAUAUAAAAGUACAGAGUUAAAAUACUUCUUCCAACUUGUAUGCAAACGCUACUGACUGACUGUAAUGAAAACGUGAGUCUAAUUGGGUAAAAAAUGUUUUUAAAAACUGACUAAGUCGGACGUUUAAACAAUAAAAAGUUUUUGUUAUUCUCA